UUGGCGGACGGGUGAGUAACGCGUGAGGAACCUGCCUUUCAGUGGGGGACAACAGUUGGAAACGACUGCUAAUACCGCAUAAUGUACGGGUAUCGCAUGGUACUGGUACCAAAGAUUUAUCGCUGAGAGAUGGCCUCGCGUCUGAUUAGCUAGUUGGUAGGGUAACGGCCUACCAAGGCGACGAUCAGUAGCCGGACUGAGAGGUUGGCCGGCCACAUUGGGACUGAGAUACGGCCCAGACUCCUACGGAAGGCAGCAG
This 259-nucleotide ribosomal RNA is filed under the name uncultured bacterium. RNAcentral's name for it is "partial 16S ribosomal RNA". It matches the Rfam family "Bacterial small subunit ribosomal RNA", at positions 95 to 354 of the family's 1533-position model. The record is from RNAcentral.